RNAcentral lists this ribosomal RNA (433 nucleotides) under uncultured bacterium. Its description in RNAcentral is "partial 16S ribosomal RNA". It matches the Rfam family "Bacterial small subunit ribosomal RNA", at positions 29 to 507 of the family's 1533-position model. The record is from RNAcentral.
AACGAACGCUGGCGGCAUGCCUAACACAUGCAAGUCGAACGAGACCUUCGGGUCUAGUGGCGCACGGGUGCGUAACGCGUGGGAACCUGCCCUUAGGUUCGGAAUAACUCCCCGAAAGGGGUGCUAAUACCGGAUCAUGUCUUCGGACCAAAGAUUUAUCGCCUUUGGAUGGGCCCGCGUUGGAUUAGCUAGUUGGUAGGGUAAAAGCCUACCAAGGCGACGAUCCAUAGCUGGUCUGAGAGGAUGAUCAGCCACACUGGGACUGAGACACGGCCCAGACUCCUACGGGAGGCAGCAGUGGGGAAUAUUAGACGAUGGGCGAAAGCCUGAUCCAGCAAUGCCGCGUGAGUGAUGAAGGCCUUAGGGUUGUAAAGCUCUUUUACCCGGGAUGAUAAUGACGGUACCGGGAGAAUAAGCUCCGGCUAACUCCGUG